UUUCCGUAGGUGAACCUGCGGAAGGAUCAUUACCGAGUGUCGGGCCCUCCUGGGUCCACCCCCCCACCCGUGUAUACUGUCCCUUGUCGCUUCGGCAGGCGCGCCCUCUGGGGCGGGCGGGGGGCCCUCGCGCCCCCGGGUUCGCGCCCGCCGGCGAGGUCCACGCGUACACUGUGUGAAGGUUGCCGUCUGAGUGAAUUUUUCCAAUCGUUAAAACUUUCAACAACGGAUCUCUUGGUUCCG
Molecule: unclassified non-coding RNA, 243 nt
Filed under: plant metagenome
Description: partial contains small subunit ribosomal RNA, internal transcribed spacer 1, and 5.8S ribosomal RNA
Source: RNAcentral